This 375-nucleotide unclassified non-coding RNA is filed under the name Hevea brasiliensis (rubber tree). The record is from RNAcentral. Lineage: Eukaryota; Viridiplantae; Streptophyta; Magnoliopsida; Malpighiales; Euphorbiaceae.
GGAUAUAUAUAAUGCAAUCAAUGAUGAAAAUGAAACUUGAUUUACAAAAGAAAGGGCAAAUUUUUUUUUUAUGAUGUGAUGCCUGCCAACCAACCCAUCCAUAAACAUGAAGUGUAGUCACCUAUUAUCUACAUCUUCCUUUGAACUGCAUCCAAAAACUCAUAUCCUUUAUCUAAAAUCAGUAGCAUCAUGCAUGAUUUUUGGACUUACUCUUUUUAUAUUUUGGAUGAUACUUGGUCUGCAGAUGCUUUUCUUCCUGUUAGUUUAUGGAGUUGUAUUGUACAUUAUAAGAAUUGUUUAUUGGAUUUAGAUGAUUUCAUCAACAUUGAAAAGCUCUAUGUGAAGGUAGAGGUGUGCAAUUGGUCAGUUCGGUUC